Molecule: ribosomal RNA, 253 nt
Filed under: uncultured bacterium
Lineage: Bacteria
Description: partial 16S ribosomal RNA
Rfam family: Bacterial small subunit ribosomal RNA
Source: RNAcentral
UACAGAGACUGCAAGCGUUGUUCGGAUUCAUUGGGCGUAAAGGGUCCGUAGGCGGUUCGGUAAGUCGGAUGUGAAAUUUCGAGGCCUAACCUCGAGUGGUCAUUCGAAACUGCCGGGCUUGAGGACUGGAGAGGAGACUGGAAUGGUCGGUGUAGCGGUGAAAUGCGUAGAGAUCGACCAGAACACCGGUGGCGAAGGCGGGUCUCUGGACAGUUCCUGACGCUCAGGGACGAAAGCUAGGGGAGCAAACGGG